AUUGAACGCUGGCGGAAUGCUUUACACAUGCAAGUCGAACGGCAGCACGGGGCAACCUGGUGGCGAGUGGCGAACGGGUGAGUAAUACAUCGGAACGUGCCCAAUCGUGGGGGAUAACGUAGCGAAAGUUACGCUAAUACCGCAUACGAUCUACGGAUGAAAGCGGGGGAUCGCAAGACCUCGCGCGAGUGGAGCGGCCGAUGUCAGAUUAGGUAGUUGGUGGGGUAAAGGCUCACCAAGCCAACGAUCUGUAGCUGGUCUGAGAGGACGACCAGCCACACUGGAACUGAGACACGGUCCAGACUCCUACGGGAGGCAGCAGUGGGGAAUUUUGGACAAUGGGCGCAAGCCUGAUCCAGCCAUUCCGCGUGCAGGAUGAAGGCCUUCGGUUGUAAACGUGCUUUGUUACGGAACGAAACGGACGACGCUCUAAUACAGUUUG
Molecule: ribosomal RNA, 442 nt
Filed under: uncultured bacterium
Lineage: Bacteria
Description: bacterial SSU rRNA
Rfam family: Bacterial small subunit ribosomal RNA
Source: RNAcentral